UUAUCUAUUUAUUUAUUUAUGCUCCAGUUUAAGGUCGAGUGUUGAACCUCUGGCUGUACUAGCCCUUAUACGGUGCUGAAAGGCAGUGCUCCUGUCCAUCGUAGGAAAGAAGAGCAGAAGUGCCAAGUGGAACCCAAGUGUUUAGCAGCUGUGCUUUGGGAAAAGCUGCUUUGUACAGGAUCUCUAAGAGCCACACAAAUACUACAGAAAUAUCUGCGCUGCCCUACAGAAGAGGAGAUGAAGGAAACCAGGUGCUCAGUAAAGCGGCAGCACGAGGCAGGGGAUGCUCCUUUUGCAGUAUCUCUGUCAGGGAGCCACACAGCAGCGCGGCUGCAGAGGGCAGCCCCACACCCACGACCUCACCGUGGCCGCCUGUACCCGAGCCCUCGGCAGCUGGAGCUGUUUCAGCGAACGGGCACGUUUUGGAAGUGCUGCAGGAGCAGCUCCUGCUCUGGGGGACCCCCAGGCCCACCCGACCCUGCAGAUUUGGAUCCGGGGCAUCUUGCUCCGGGAUCGCAGGGCUUGGUAUGAGCGGAAGGAAGCGAUUCCUCAGCGCCCUGAGCCGAUGCCCCACGGCCCGCAGAGCCCAGCUGAGCCCCCGCACCCAAACCCCUGGGAGGAUGCUCCAAGGGCAGCUCCCGGAGCAGAACCCCGGGCACGCCGAAACGAUGACCUAAGGAUGUCUUGGAGGUGCUGGGGGAUGCCCUCGCCGAAGCCCCACCACCCCUCUGUGGGAGGAAUACCCCAAGAGCAGCCCCCUGCACUCCGGCAUAGGGGCUGCCCCAAGCAGGACGUUGGUCACGUAGA
This is a non-coding RNA of Meleagris gallopavo (turkey), 807 nucleotides long. The record is from RefSeq and is a predicted model, not a curated record. Lineage: Eukaryota; Metazoa; Chordata; Aves; Galliformes; Phasianidae.